This 497-nucleotide ribosomal RNA is filed under the name uncultured bacterium. RNAcentral describes it as "partial 16S ribosomal RNA". It matches the Rfam family "Bacterial small subunit ribosomal RNA", at positions 28 to 507 of the family's 1533-position model. The record is from RNAcentral.
GAUGAACGCUGGCGGCGUGCCUAAUACAUGCAAGUCGAGCGAACAGACGAGGAGCUUGCUCCUCUGACGUUAGCGGCGGACGGGUGAGUAACACGUGGAUAACCUACCUAUAAGACUGGGAUAACUUCGGGAAACCGGAGCUAAUACCGGAUAAUAUAUUGAACAGCAUGGUUCAAUAGUGAAAGACGGUUUUGCUGUCACUUAUAGAUGGAUCCGCGCCGCAUUAGCUAGUUGGUAAGGUAACGGCUUACCAAGGCAACGAUGCGUAGCCGACCUGAGAGGGUGAUCGGCCACACUGGAACUGAGACACGGUCCAGACUCCUACGGGAGGCAGCAGUAGGGAAUCUUCCGCAAAGGGCGAAAGCCUGACGGAGCAACGCCGCGUGAGUGAUGAAGGUCUUCGGAUCGUAAAACUCUGUUAUUAGGGAAGAACAAAUGUGUAAGUAACUAUGCACGUCUUGACGGUACCUAAUCAGAAAGCCACGGCUAACUACGUG